GCAGGGCUGGACGAGAGCGGAGUGAGCCUUUUCAAAACACCUGAGGCCAUUGAUGAGAUGUGGGCAGGCCAGCAGCGACACCUGGAGUGCAUCCAGGAUCCACCAGACAUGAACAUGUAUAGGGUGGCGCGUACCACAACCAUUAACAAUGUGGACCUACCCUACUACAAAUGUCUGCGUGGAAGCAACAGCCUGGAAGGAUUCCACAAAGCUCUGCCGAACAUGAUUCCAGGUCCCCACUGUGCAGCACGGCCCUAUCAGGUUUACCUGAUCAGUGGCAUUGCACGGUGGAACUCUGACAGGAGCGGGGAUGCCGUGUUUGGUGGCAAAGGACGGCACCACAGGACCU
Coregonus clupeaformis (lake whitefish) is the source of this 349-nucleotide long non-coding RNA. RefSeq lists it as uncharacterized. NCBI's taxonomy places the organism in Eukaryota, Metazoa, Chordata, Actinopteri, Salmoniformes, Salmonidae. The transcript is spliced from 3 exons. The record is from RefSeq and is a predicted model, not a curated record.